Molecule: ribosomal RNA, 253 nt
Filed under: uncultured bacterium
Lineage: Bacteria
Description: partial 16S ribosomal RNA
Rfam family: Bacterial small subunit ribosomal RNA
Source: RNAcentral
UACAGAGGUGGCAAGCGUUGUUCGGAAUUACUGGGCGUAAAGGGCGCGUAGGCGGUCAGGUCAGUCCCGUGUGAAAUCCCUCGGCUCAACUGAGGAACUGCACGGGAAACUGCCUGGCUUGAGUUCGGGAGAGGGAAGCGGAAUUCCGGGUGUAGCGGUGAAAUGCGUAGAUAUCCGGAGGAACACCGGUGGCGAAGGCGGCUUCCUGGACCGACACUGACGCUGAGGCGCGAAAGCUAGGGGAGCAAACGGA